Vicugna pacos (alpaca) is the source of this 133-nucleotide non-coding RNA. The record is from RefSeq and is a predicted model, not a curated record. NCBI's taxonomy places the organism in Eukaryota, Metazoa, Chordata, Mammalia, Artiodactyla, Camelidae.
AAGUCAUUGUAAACAGUAAAUGGAUGUUCUUAUCCAGUAGAGAUGCAUACUUAAGUAAUUGUAUGUUAUCUAGGAUUUGUUUUAAAAUAUUCUGGGGAAAAAAAAAGUGGAAGAGAUUGAUGAGGCAAGACUG